This 283-nucleotide ribosomal RNA is filed under the name uncultured bacterium. Its description in RNAcentral is "partial 16S ribosomal RNA". It matches the Rfam family "Bacterial small subunit ribosomal RNA", at positions 123 to 406 of the family's 1533-position model. The record is from RNAcentral.
AACCUGCCCUCCACUCUGGGAUAACUCCGGGAAACCGGUGCUAAUACUGGAUAUGACCUACUCGGGCAUCCGAUGUGGGUGGAAAGAUUUAUUGGUGGGGGAUGGACUCGCGGCCUAUCAGCUUGUUGGUGAGGUAAUGGCUCACCAAGGCGACGACGGGUAGCCGGCCUGAGAGGGCGAUCGGCCACACUGGGACUGAGACACGGCCCAGACUCCUACGGGAGGCAGCAGUGGGGAAUAUUGCACAAUGGGCGAAAGCCUGAUGCAGCGACGCCGCGUGAGG